UCCCCGCCCUGCAGCCCCGCGUUUCUCGCCCUCGCUGCGGGCAGCGCGCGGAGCCCGCAGCAUCCCGCCCCUGGGAUACAGGGGCGCUCCCGCGGUUCCCCCUCUUGACAGCGCAAGAGGUGGACGUGCAAACACAAGGCUGCUCCAAGAUCUCCUGCUGGGAUCCCCACCAGCAAAGGGAUUGCAGGACAUCAGGAAGGGAAAAUCAAUAGGAUUCGUGUUGCAGACUGGAGGGAGGAGCAGUGGGACACGGAGCUGAAGGCUGCCUGCCGCUAAUUAAUCUUCCAGCGUCAUCCCUGUGAUGGAUCAAUCUCUCAUCCACGGGAAGCCUGAUGGGAUCUUCCCACAGACUUUCAUUACAAUUGCUGAGCACACACUUUCCUUAUUAAAUCAGCACUUAAGCAGCAGCACAGUGUCAGGACAAACCCC
Long non-coding RNA from Pipra filicauda (Wire-tailed manakin), 429 nucleotides. RefSeq lists it as uncharacterized. The record is from RefSeq and is a predicted model, not a curated record. NCBI's taxonomy places the organism in Eukaryota, Metazoa, Chordata, Aves, Passeriformes, Pipridae. The transcript is spliced from 3 exons.